AACAUCGCGCACCUGCGGGAACCUGCGGAAGGAUCAUUAAAGAUGACGAUGCCCUCCUCAGGGAACUCCUCCCGGCGUCGCCGGGUGCACUCAUCUCUCCUUGUGAAAGACCCUUUGCUUAGGUAGCGUUCCCACCGGUUGGGUUGUCAGCCUACCUCUAGCCCGCGAUGAAAUCCGUGAGAUAUUACUUGAGACGUCUGAAGAGAAGCGAAUUUCGUAAAAACUUUUAACAAUGGAUCU
RNAcentral lists this unclassified non-coding RNA (240 nucleotides) under soil metagenome. Its description in RNAcentral is "partial contains 5.8S ribosomal RNA, internal transcribed spacer 2, and large subunit ribosomal RNA". The record is from RNAcentral.